CACUUACUAGCUAGCUCAUAUACC
RNAcentral lists this ribosomal RNA (24 nucleotides) under Laimosemion rectocaudatum. Its description in RNAcentral is "partial 16S ribosomal RNA". The record is from RNAcentral. Lineage: Eukaryota; Metazoa; Chordata; Actinopteri; Cyprinodontiformes; Rivulidae.